ACGGCUCAUUACAACAGCCAUAGUUUCUUAGGUGUUAUCCUUACUCGGAUACCUCUGGUAACCUAAGAGCUAAUACGCGACAAAAAUGCUCGACCGUCAAGGCGGGUUGCGUUUAUUAGACCAAAACCAAUGGGCAUUGCCCUACUUUGGUGAAUCUGAAUAACUGGCUGAUCGCACGGUCCAGCACCGGCGACAAACCUUACAAAUGUCUGUCUUAUCAACUUUCGAUGGUAGUUUAUGCGCCUACCAUGGUUGUAACGGGUAACGGAGAAUUAGGGUUCGACUCCGGAGAGGGAGCCUGAGAAACGGCUACCACAUCCAAGGAAGGCAGCAGGCACGCAAAUUACCCACUCCCGGCACGGGGAGGUAGUGACGAAAAAUAACGAGACGGUUCUCUAAGAGGCCCGUCAUCGGAAUGGGUACAAUUUAAAUCCUUUAACGAGGAUCUAUUGGAGGGCAAGUCUGGUGCCAGCAGCCGCGGUAAUUCCAGCUCCAGAAGCGUAUAUUAAAGUUGUUGCGGUUAAAAAGCUCGUAGUUGGAUCUGCGCCAUUGGCUUGUGGUCCCCAGAAUGGUGGUACUACAUUGUCAUGGUUUGCUAUCUAGUUUUCCCUUGGUGCUCUUCAUCGAGUGCUUUGGGUGACUGGAAUUUUUACUUUGAAAAAAUUAGAGUGCUCAAAGCAGGCGAUCAGCCUGAAUAGUGUUGCAUGGAAUAAAAGAAUAGGACUUUGGUUCUAUUUUGUUGGUUUUCGGAACUCGAAGUAAUGAUAAAAAGGGACAGACGGAGGCAUUCGUAUCGCGACGUUAGAGGUGAAAUUCUUGGAUCGCCGCGAGACGAACAACUGCGAAAGCGUUUGCCAAGAAUGUUUUCAUUAAUCAAGAACGAAAGUUAGAGGUUCGAAGGCGAUCAGAUACCGCCCUAGUUCUAACCGUAAACGAUGCCAGCUAGCGAUCCGUGGGAGUUAGACACAUGACUUUGCGGGCAGCUUCCGGGAAACCAAAGCUUUUGGGUUCCGGGGGAAGUAUGGUUGCAAAUCCGAAACUUAAAGGAAUUGACGGAAGGGCACCACCAGGAGUGGAGCCUGCGGCUUAAUUUGACUCAACGCGGGAAAACUCACCCGGCCCGGACACCGUAAGGAUUGACAGAUUGAGAGCUCUUUCUUGAUUCGGUGGGUGGUGGUGCAUGGCCGUUCUUAGUUGGUGGAGCGAUUUGUCUGGUUAAUUCCGAUAACGAACGAGACUCUAGCCUACUAAACUAGGCGAUGGAUUUAUUUCAUUGAACUUCUUAGGGGGACCAAGGGCUUAUAGUCCUGAGACGCUGAGCAAUAACAGGUCAGUGAUGCCCUUAGAUGUUCGGGGCUGCACGCGGGCUACAUUGAAAGAUUCAGCGUGUUUGUUAACCUUGUUCGGCAGAGCAGGGUAACCAUGUGAAACUCUUUCGUGCUUGGGAUAAGAAAUUGCAAUUAUUUUCUUUGAACGAGGAAUUCCUAGUAAAUGCGGGUCAUCAUCUCGCGUUGAUUACGUCCCUGCCCUUUGUACACACCGCCCGUCGCUACUACCGAUUGGAUGAUUUAGUGAGGCCUUCGGACUGAGACCGUAUCGCCUUACGGGGUGGUUAGGUUCUC
RNAcentral lists this ribosomal RNA (1622 nucleotides) under Phanodermatidae sp. TCR153. RNAcentral describes it as "SSU rRNA". It matches the Rfam family "Eukaryotic small subunit ribosomal RNA". The record is from RNAcentral. Lineage: Eukaryota; Metazoa; Nematoda; Enoplea; Enoplida; Phanodermatidae.